RNAcentral lists this ribosomal RNA (262 nucleotides) under uncultured bacterium. RNAcentral describes it as "partial 16S ribosomal RNA". It matches the Rfam family "Bacterial small subunit ribosomal RNA", at positions 335 to 612 of the family's 1533-position model. The record is from RNAcentral.
GCCCUACGGGAGGCAGCAGUGGGGAAUAUUGGGCAAUGGGCGCAAGCCUGACCCAGCAACGCCGCGUGAAGGAAGAAGGCUUUCGGGUUGUAAACUUCUUUUCUGAGGGACGAAGAAAGUGGCGGUACCUCAGGAAUAAGCCACGGCUAACUACGGGUCAGCAGCCGCGGUAAUACGUAGGUGGCAAGCGUUAUCCGGAUUUAUUGGGUGUAAAGGGCGUGUAGGCGGGAAAGCAAGGCAGAUGUGAAAACUCAGGGCUCAA